This 27-nucleotide non-coding RNA is filed under the name Mus musculus (house mouse). The record is from RNAcentral. Lineage: Eukaryota; Metazoa; Chordata; Mammalia; Rodentia; Muridae.
UNGCAGAGGCCCUGAUGGAACACUACU